RNA transcript from Colossoma macropomum (tambaqui), 1575 nucleotides. It is a transcript of the gene named THAP domain-containing protein 6-like, with no coding region annotated. The record is from RefSeq and is a predicted model, not a curated record. The transcript has 6 exons. Lineage: Eukaryota; Metazoa; Chordata; Actinopteri; Characiformes; Serrasalmidae.
UUGUUUCAGUACGUCAACGGCGCCGCCAUCUUAGAACGGUCAUCUUGACUUCACAAGAUCACAGUAAAAGGAGAGCAAAACACUGGAUGUUAAAAUGCCACAAAACUGUGCAGCUUUCCAAUGCAUGACAAGGAGAAGCCUCCAGACGAGGGAGAAGGGGAUCACUUUUCACAAGUUUCCCAGUGAUCCUGUACUUAAAAAGAAGUGGGAACUUGCUGUCAGGAGAGAGGCCUUUAUUGCAAGGCCUUCAACAGUUCUUUGCAGCCAGCAUUUUACAGAGGAUGACUUUGACAGGACUGGACAGACUGUGCGCCUUCGAGAAGGAGCCGUCCCAUCUGUUUUCACAUUUCCAUCACACCUUCAAAAACGACCUGUGACACCGAGAAAAACAGUAACAUCACAAAAAGCUGCUGCCCCCAUGGAGGUCAAAACAGAGCCAGAACCUGUUCAACCACAAAGUCUACCUUGUGAGGAGCACUUGUAUGUAGCACCCUGUUCACUGGACAAGCUGAAGGACAAACUUGCCCAGGCCUACGAAAGGAUUGAGGACCUCGAGCGGCAACUCCGCAAUGCCAAAGACAGAGAGAGGAGGUACAUAGCUAAACUGAAGAGUCUUAUGGGGGAAGGUCCAGUCACAGCAAAACGUCUGCAAAUGUCACUUUAACCAGGACCACUCCUGUUUCCUACCAUCAGAUUAUCAGGGGAUGUCGGCGAGAGCUGUGGCUCCUUUUAUCCUAGUUGGAUGGAUCCACCGACGUGUUGGGGUGAAUGGAACAAGAGCAACUCAACUGCAGCUCAGUUCUGGAGUGUUUUCCAGUAUCUCAUGGUCCAUUUUCGAGAUGCCGCCUACGGACUGUGUUACAGUGCAAGAUGAGACUGUUUUCUUAUCUUGAGUCCCAGCUGAUGAAGACUUCACUUUUUCUCCAUUUGAGGAUAUGUGUGAAACUGUGUUGAACAACCUGAAGUUUCCAUGAGAGUCUUGUGGACAACACACUUCUGUAUAAUGACAGGGUUUAUUGUUAAGUUUUCUCAGCACUUUCUUAUGAUUAACGCAAAAAUAUUUUGGUGUCUGCUGAUGUACCAGUCAUCUGAUACCACCUGUUAAAUCAGGUUAGCACCUCUUCCUGUGUUUGGGGUAAUUUUGGGCUUUUGUAUGCUGAUGUACAGUAUAUACAUAAAGUUUUGAAUUGAUUAUUAUUCUAAUGGGUUUGCUGUGUGACAGUUUUAACAGUAAAAUUGCAGUGACCAGCCAGUUAAACAUUUUGUUUGAAACAUUUCUCUAACCUGCAGAACAGGAACCAUGCUACUAUUUUACUUCCAUCUCAUUUAUAUGGAUUGCUGUUUCAUGAUGUUUCCACUUUUUUAGACUGUGAUCUAUAGGCUUUUAGUCACUGUCUUUAUCCUUUGGGCCCUAUUAGGCUGCAGUGAGGUCACAGUGUUAUGUAUGCAGCCUUAAAAUGCACGCUGGGAACAUUUUCAGUCUACUUCCUUCUGAAAUUGUGUAUACUUGGCUGUAAUGGGAACUGCUACAUGGUGACAACCUUUAAGUCUAAUCAGAAAAAUAAAAAGACUAGG